RNAcentral lists this ribosomal RNA (1263 nucleotides) under Triticum aestivum (bread wheat). Its description in RNAcentral is "partial small subunit ribosomal RNA". The record is from RNAcentral. Lineage: Eukaryota; Viridiplantae; Streptophyta; Magnoliopsida; Poales; Poaceae.
AUGGCUGCUCAUCCUGUUGAAUCAGAAGCAAGCAGUGAAACAGACAAUCACCCUUUACUGAUAGACCACAUGGAAAAUACUGCUCAUCUCGAGAUUGCAAUUGAGAGCCCAAGGGAUGAUGUUGCUUCAUCGUCAACCGCUCGUCGGGAGGAUAAUGAUGGCUUGGAUCGAUUGCCUCACAUCUCAGAAAGUUCUUCGGAGACAACUACUGCAUCUAACUCUCAAAGUGCUCCUCUAGCAAGAAGAGAUGCUAAUCGUGCUCGUCGUCGGCAAAGUCCGUUGAAUUCUAGUUGCUGGAUCUCCAUUGAGCUUGUUGUAACAGUUAGCCAGAUUAUAGCGGCCAUUUGUGUUCUGUCAUUGUCAAGGAAGGAACGUCCGCAUUCUCCAUUAUUUGAGUGGGUCAUUGGUUAUACGGUAGGUUGUGUUGCUACUCUUCCUCUUCUCUACUGGCGCUAUCUCCAUCGCAACCGCCCAACAACUGGGCAAGAACCAGCAAGUCAGAACUUCCCUCCGAACAGCAUACCUGAGUCCAAUUCUCACACAACAAAUUCGGCCCCUGGCAUGUCUGAAGCUGGUUUUGUAACUGACACAAAUGGAGUCUCGCAAAACAACGUGCUUACCAGAAAUCUCAGGGCCCAAGCUUAUGCCGAUCACUUCAGGAUGGCCCUUGACUGUUUCUUCGCCGUGUGGUUUGUUGUGGGGAAUGUGUGGGUAUUUGGUGGACAUUCCUCUGCCCAUGACGCUCCCAACUUAUACAGGUUGUGUAUAGCCUUCCUCACAUUUAGCUGCAUCGGCUAUGCUAUGCCUUUCAUUCUGUGCGCAUUGAUAUGUUGCUGCCUGCCCUGCAUAAUCUCCCUAAUGAGCUUUCGUGAAGAUCUAAACCAAAACAAAGGUGCUACUGCAGAAGCAAUCAAUGCCUUGAGAACAUACAAGUUCAAAACGAAGAAGUCCCGUAACGGCGAGGGGAUUGAAGUCGGCGGCGGAGUUGUUGCUGCUGGAACAGACAAGGAGCGGAUUGUUUCUGCUGAAGAUGCUAUUUGCUGUAUCUGCCUAGCAAGAUACUCGAACAAUGAUGAUCUCCGAGAGCUUCCUUGCACCCACUUCUUCCACAAAGAAUGCGUAGACAAAUGGCUCAAGAUAAACGCACUAUGCCCCCUCUGCAAAGCUGAGAUAGACAGUGGCCCGACAACUGCUCCUGCCAUUGGCUUUGGGCGUCGCCACAGUGACAACAGGGUAGGAAAUGACAUCGAAUCACAGCUGUAA